RNAcentral lists this long non-coding RNA (393 nucleotides) under Brassica napus (rape). RNAcentral describes it as "long non-coding RNA (BNAP_LNC003211)". The record is from RNAcentral. Lineage: Eukaryota; Viridiplantae; Streptophyta; Magnoliopsida; Brassicales; Brassicaceae.
UGGUGAUUGUAUAAUCGUUGGCGAUGAACCGGGUUUAGCUGCAGAUGAAUGGCUACUUGCAGGUGAAGAAACAGACGGUGAUGUUGUGGUUAUUGAUGGGAUUAACCGGAAGACAAUCUAGUUGUCGGUGGUUUCGAAGGAGAUACUGCAUAGAUACCAUUAAUCGAAUAUCAUUUCAACAAAUUUAAAUUUAAUCAUUAACAAAAAAAAACAAUAUCUCUUAUUCCACAAGAGCAGUUUACUAGUGAAAAACUUGUUAGUCGUAAUAGUUAAGAAUCAUUCAAUUUUUUUUUAAAGUAAACGAACCAUAAUCAUUAGAUAAGGAAAGAAAAAAUAAGAUACCACAAUGAGGAUCGAUGGGGAUGUUACAAGUAGAAGGUAUUGGAAGAGCUC